Molecule: ribosomal RNA, 253 nt
Filed under: uncultured bacterium
Lineage: Bacteria
Description: partial 16S ribosomal RNA
Rfam family: Bacterial small subunit ribosomal RNA
Source: RNAcentral
UACGUAGGGGGCAAGCGUUGUCCGGAUUUAUUGGGCGUAAAGAGCGUGUAGGCGGCUUGGUAGGUCCGCUGUGAAAACUCGAGGCUCAACCUCGAGAUGUCGGCGGAAACCACUUGGCUAGAGUCCGGAAGAGGAGAGUGGAAUUCCUGGUGUAGCGGUGAAAUGCGCAGAUAUCAGGAAGAACACCGGUGGCGAAGGCGGAUCUCUGGGCCUUGCCUGACGCUGAGGCGCGAAAGCUAGGGGAGCGAACAGG